RNAcentral lists this ribosomal RNA (2923 nucleotides) under Klebsiella pneumoniae. RNAcentral's name for it is "bacterial LSU rRNA". It matches the Rfam family "Bacterial large subunit ribosomal RNA". Lineage: Bacteria; Pseudomonadati; Pseudomonadota; Gammaproteobacteria; Enterobacterales; Enterobacteriaceae. The record is from RNAcentral.
GGGUUGUGAGGUUAAGCGACUAAGCGUACACGGUGGAUGCCCUGGCAGUCAGAGGCGAUGAAGGACGUGCUAAUCUGCGAAAAGCGUCGGUAAGGUGAUAUGAACCGUUACAGCCGGCGAUGUCCGAAUGGGGAAACCCAGUGCAAUUCGUUGCACUAUCGUUAACUGAAUACAUAGGUUAACGAGGCGAACCGGGGGGAACUGAAACAUCUAAGUACCCCGAGGAAAAGAAAUCAACCGAGAUUCCCCCAGUAGCGGCGAGCGAACGGGGAGCAGCCCAGAGUCUGAAUCAGCUUGUGUGUUAGUGGAACGGUCUGGAAAGUCCGACGGUACAGGGUGAUAGUCCCGUACACCAAAAUGCACAGGCUGUGAACUCGAAGAGUAGGGCGGGACACGUGGUAUCCUGUCUGAAUAUGGGGGGACCAUCCUCCAAGGCUAAAUACUCCUGACUGACCGAUAGUGAACCAGUACCGUGAGGGAAAGGCGAAAAGAACCCCGGCGAGGGGAGUGAAAAAGAACCUGAAACCGUGUACGUACAAGCAGUGGGAGCACCUUCGGGUGUGACUGCGUACCUUUUGUAUAAUGGGUCAGCGACUUAUAUUCUGUAGCAAGGUUAACCGUAUAGGGGAGCCGCAGGGAAACCGAGUCUUAACUGGGCGUUAAGUUGCAGGGUAUAGACCCGAAACCCGGUGAUCUAGCCAUGGGCAGGUUGAAGGUUGGGUAACACUAACUGGAGGACCGAACCGACUAAUGUUGAAAAAUUAGCGGAUGACUUGUGGCUGGGGGUGAAAGGCCAAUCAAACCGGGAGAUAGCUGGUUCUCCCCGAAAGCUAUUUAGGUAGCGCCUCGUGAACUCAUCUUCGGGGGUAGAGCACUGUUUCGGCUAGGGGGUCAUCCCGACUUACCAACCCGAUGCAAACUACGAAUACCGAAGAAUGUUAUCACGGGAGACACACGGCGGGUGCUAACGUCCGUCGUGAAGAGGGGAAACAACCCAGACCGCCAGCUAAGGUCCCAAAGUCAUGGUUAAGUGGGAAACGAUGUGGGAAGGCACAGACAGCCAGGAUGUUGGCUUAGAAGCAGCCAUCAUUUAAAGAAAGCGUAAUAGCUCACUGGUCGAGUCGGCCUGCGCGGAAGAUGUAACGGGGCUAAACCAUGCACCGAAGCUGCGGCAGCGACACUAUGUGUUGUUGGGUAGGGGAGCGUUCUGUAAGCCUGCGAAGGUGUGCUGUGAGGCAUGCUGGAGGUAUCAGAAGUGCGAAUGCUGACAUAAGUAACGAUAAAGCGGGUGAAAAGCCCGCUCGCCGGAAGACCAAGGGUUCCUGUCCAACGUUAAUCGGGGCAGGGUGAGUCGACCCCUAAGGCGAGGCCGAAAGGCGUAGUCGAUGGGAAACAGGUUAAUAUUCCUGUACUUGGUGUUACUGCGAAGGGGGGACGGAGAAGGCUAUGUUAGCCGGGCGACGGUUGUCCCGGUUUAAGCAUGUAGGCUGGUUAUCCAGGCAAAUCCGGAUAAUCAAGGCUGAGGUGUGAUGACGAGGCACUACGGUGCUGAAGUAACAAAUGCCCUGCUUCCAGGAAAAGCCUCUAAGCAUCAGGUAACAUCAAAUCGUACCCCAAACCGACACAGGUGGUCAGGUAGAGAAUACCAAGGCGCUUGAGAGAACUCGGGUGAAGGAACUAGGCAAAAUGGUGCCGUAACUUCGGGAGAAGGCACGCUGGUGUGUAGGUGAAGUCCCUGCGGAUGGAGCUGAGACCAGUCGAAGAUACCAGCUGGCUGCAACUGUUUAUUAAAACACAGCACUGUGCAAACACGAAAGUGGACGUAUACGGUGUGACGCCUGCCCGGUGCCGGAAGGUUAAUUGAUGGGGUUAUCCGUAAGGAGAAGCUCUUGAUCGAAGCCCCGGUAAACGGCGGCCGUAACUAUAACGGUCCUAAGGUAGCGAAAUUCCUUGUCGGGUAAGUUCCGACCUGCACGAAUGGCGUAAUGAUGGCCAGGCUGUCUCCACCCGAGACUCAGUGAAAUUGAACUCGCUGUGAAGAUGCAGUGUACCCGCGGCAAGACGGAAAGACCCCGUGAACCUUUACUAUAGCUUGACACUGAACAUUGAGCCUUGAUGUGUAGGAUAGGUGGGAGGCUUUGAAGCGUGGACGCCAGUCUGCGUGGAGCCAACCUUGAAAUACCACCCUUUAAUGUUUGAUGUUCUAACGUUGGCCCUUACCGGGGUUGCGGACAGUGUCUGGUGGGUAGUUUGACUGGGGCGGUCUCCUCCCAAAGCGUAACGGAGGAGCACGAAGGUUAGCUAAUCCUGGUCGGACAUCAGGAGGUUAGUGCAAUGGCAUAAGCUAGCUUGACUGCGAGCGUGACGGCGCGAGCAGGUGCGAAAGCAGGUCAUAGUGAUCCGGUGGUUCUGAAUGGAAGGGCCAUCGCUCAACGGAUAAAAGGUACUCCGGGGAUAACAGGCUGAUACCGCCCAAGAGUUCAUAUCGACGGCGGUGUUUGGCACCUCGAUGUCGGCUCAUCACAUCCUGGGGCUGAAGUAGGUCCCAAGGGUAUGGCUGUUCGCCAUUUAAAGUGGUACGCGAGCUGGGUUUAGAACGUCGUGAGACAGUUCGGUCCCUAUCUGCCGUGGGCGCUGGAGAAUUGAGGGGGGCUGCUCCUAGUACGAGAGGACCGGAGUGGACGCAUCACUGGUGUUCGGGUUGUCAUGCCAAUGGCACUGCCCGGUAGCUAAAUGCGGAAGAGAUAAGUGCUGAAAGCAUCUAAGCACGAAACUUGCCCCGAGAUGAGUUCUCCCUGAGACUUUAAGUCUCCUGAAGGAACGUUAAAGACGAUGACGUUGAUAGGCCGGGUGUGUAAGCGCAGCGAUGCGUUGAGCUAACCGGUACUAAUGAACCGUGAGGCUUAACCUUACAACGCCGAAG